RNAcentral lists this ribosomal RNA (250 nucleotides) under uncultured bacterium. Its description in RNAcentral is "partial 16S ribosomal RNA". It matches the Rfam family "Bacterial small subunit ribosomal RNA", at positions 524 to 773 of the family's 1533-position model. The record is from RNAcentral.
UACAGAGGGUGCAAGCGUUAAUCGGAAUUACUGGGCGUAAAGCGCACGUAGGCGGUCAUGUAAGUCGGGUGUGAAAUCCCCGGGCUCAACCUGGGAACUGCAUUCGAGACUGCAUGGCUAGAGUACGGUAGAGGAGGGCGGAAUUCCCGGUGUAGCGGUGAAAUGCGUAGAUAUCGGGAGGAACAUCAGUGGCGAAGGCGGCCCUCUGGACCAGUACUGACGCUCAGGUGCGAAAGCGUGGGGAGCAAAC